UCUGAACAGCGCCCCGCUGCCCCCUCUGGAAGAAAGGCUGGAUCGCCUGUUUGCCGCCUUUUGGGCUAAAAUAUACCAACAGGGAGACAUAACAGUGGAGACCCCACCAGCAGCAGGCCGGGAAGAGGCAGAGACCCGCGGCCCCCUUUCAGGGUAUCGGCAAGGCUGAAAUGGCGGGAAGAAGGAGAUGGACGACUCGACGCAAACCUCGACACCGCAGACCAAGACAAGCAGUGAGUCGUCCUACUCCCCAUCAGUGGCUACCCCUCUGCAGCCUCACCACACUCCCGAAGACCAGUACCCGCCAUGUGGAGAACCCACAUAAGAGUCCGCGGAGACUUAAAAUGGAACCGGGCCGUACACCCACAGCGCCCCG
Molecule: non-coding RNA, 376 nt
Organism: Pelobates cultripes (western spadefoot toad)
Lineage: Eukaryota; Metazoa; Chordata; Amphibia; Anura; Pelobatidae
Source: the annotation of a GenBank genome assembly